Carassius auratus (goldfish) is the source of this 1950-nucleotide long non-coding RNA. Lineage: Eukaryota; Metazoa; Chordata; Actinopteri; Cypriniformes; Cyprinidae. The record is from Ensembl.
GGCAGGUCCAUCAGGGGACACUGGAAAUUCCCCUGGACCACAGAGCACAUCAACGUGCUGGAACUAAGGGCAGUCCAUCUCUCCCUGAGGGUUUUUCUCCCGUUGUUACAGAACAAACAUGUUUUAGUGAGAACAGACAACAUGUCGGCAGUGUACCACAUCAAUCACCAGGGUGGCACCAGAUCAGCGCGGUGUCUCCAGGUGACACAGGAACUAUUUUCUUGGGCAUUUCCAAAGCUCUCAUCACUCAGAGCAGUAUACAUACCGGGAGUGGCGAACAGAGCGGCAGACCUGCUGUCACGAACUGGACCACUCCCGGGAGAGUGGCGCCUCCAUCCCGAAGUGGUGAGAUUGAUAUGGAGGCGUUUCGGUAUGGCGAAGGUCGAUUUGUUUGCGACCACGGAGACAACUCAUUGCAAUCUAUGGUAUUCCCUGAACAGCCAGGGAGGCCCUUUAGGGAUCGAUGCACUAUCUCAAGAAUGGCCGGAAGAAUUGUUGUACGCUUUUCCACCCCUACCCUUGAUCCACCUUGUGAUCAACAGGGUAGCUUUGGGCCGUCACAAGAUUUUACUUGUGGCCCCACGUUGGCCAAAGAAACUUUGGUUUCCGACCCUUGUACGUUUGGUCCAAGGUUACCCUUGGCAGUUACCACAGAGAGCAGAUCUCCUCUCUCAAGUGGAAGGCCAAAUCUGGCACCCCAGUCCAGAGACACUUCAACUAUGGGUAUGGCCCUUGCUCAGUCCCUCUCUGAAGGCUUAGAUGAAGCUGUAUUAAGGACAAUAAAUAGUUCUAAGGCACCGUCUACGUGGAGUAACUAUUUUAGCAAGUGGCGAAUAUUCUCAGCAUGGUGUCAUGACCGACAACUAGAUCCGGCCAAGUGUGACACCAGUUUGGUUCUUCGUUUUCUUCAAACAUUGAUUGAUUCUGGGAAAUCAGUUAAUACCAUAAAAGUCUACAUUGCAGCCAUCUCACACUUCCAUGUGUCAGUGGAUGGUGCAAAUAUUGGCAAACACCGUUUGGUGUCUCAAUUUCUUAAGGGUGCAAAACGCUUGCGACCAGGGAGAAUUAUGAGAUCACCUACUUGGGACCUUUCUAUUGUCUUACAGUCACUGGCCAAAGCACCUUUUGAACCUUUGGAGCAAGCAGAUCUCAAGUUCUUGACAUGGAAAACAGUUUUCCUACUAGCGAUGUGUUCAGCCAAGAGAGUUGGUGAGUUGCACGCUUUAUCAGUCAGUGAAGACUGCUUGAGAUGGAAGGCAGAAAAAACAGGGGUUUUUCUCUGGCCAAACCCAUCAUUCUUGCCCAAGGUCCUUAAGCCUAGCACAAUAAAUCAGGUAAUUGAGCUUGAUGCUUUCCGUCCAGAUCCCCUUUGUUUAGGUGAAGAGUUGGAUCAUUGUUCUCUAUGUCCUGUUAGGGCAUUGCACACAUAUAUUGAGCAAACUCAUCAACUACGACAGUCACACACACAACUAUUUGUAUGUUUUGACAAGAAGUGUGCAGGCAAACCUGUGUCUAAGCAACGGUUAUCUCAUUGGAUAGUGGAUACCAUUUCACAAGCUUAUGUCAGCCAAAAUCUACCUAUCCCUGGUGGUCUGGUUGCUCACUCUACCAGGAGCAUGGCCACUUCCUGGGCGGCACUGAAGGGGGUAGCACUAUCGGACAUCUGUGCCGCAGCCUCUUGGAGCAGCUUGUGCACGUUUACGAGGUUUUAUAGGAUUAAUGUGGCAAAGCCAAAUCCUUUUGGGUCUGCGGUUUUAUCUGCGGCUAAAUAAACAGGGGAAGGAAAACAUGCUAGUCCCUCGUGACCCUGGGGGUAUAAGUCAUCCAAGGUAAGACCGUGGUGACGGUCUGAGUGAGGUCGAAAUAGAUCGUAAGUUAUGACUAUAACUAUGGAUCUAUGAGACCGAACGAUGACCGUCACCAUCCCUUGUCACUCGGGACGAACUGGGG